This 441-nucleotide ribosomal RNA is filed under the name uncultured bacterium. RNAcentral's name for it is "partial 16S ribosomal RNA". It matches the Rfam family "Bacterial small subunit ribosomal RNA", at positions 338 to 795 of the family's 1533-position model. The record is from RNAcentral.
CCUACGGGCGGCAGCAGUGGGGAAUAUUGCACAAUGGGGGAAACCCUGAUGCAGCGACGCCGCGUGAGUGAAGAAGUAUUUCGGUAUGUAAAGCUCUAUCAGCAGGGAAGAAGAAAGACGGUACCUGACUAAGAAGCCCCGGCUAACUACGUGCCAGCAGCCGCGGUAAUACGUAGGGGGCAAGCGUUAUCCGGAUUUACGGGGUGUAAAGGGAGCGUAGACGGCUGUGCAAGUCUGAAGUGAAAGCCCAGGGCUCAACCCUGGGACUGCUUUGGAAACUGUGGAGCUAGAGUGCUGGAGAGGUAAGUGGAAUUCGUAGUGUAGCGGUGAAAUGCGUAGAUAUUAGGAGGAACACCAGUGGCGAAGGCGGCUUACUGGACAGUAACUGACGUUGAGGCUCGAAAGCGUGGGGAGCGAACAGGAUUAGAUACCCGGGUAGUC